ACCAGACUCCUACGGGAGGCAGCAGUGGGGAAUAUUGCACAAUGGGGGAAACCCUGAUGCAGCAACGCCGCGUGAGUGAAGAAGUAUUUCGAUAUGUAAAGCUCUCUCAGCAGGGAAGAAGAUGACGGUACCUGAUUAAGAAGCCCCGGCUAACUACGUGCCAGCAGCCGCGGUAAUACGUAGGGGGCAAGCGUUAUCCGGAUUUACUGGGUGUAAAGGGAGCGUAGACGGCAGGGCAAGUCUGGAGUGAAAGCCCGGGGCCCAACCCCGGGACUGCUUUGGAAACUGCCAUGCUAGAGUGCUGGAGAGGUAAGCGGAAUUCCUAGUGUAGCGGUGAAAUGCGUAGAUAUUAGGAGGAACACCAGUGGCGAAGGCGGCUUACUGGACAGUAACUGACGUUGAGGCUCGAAAGCGUGGGGAGCAAACAGGAUUAGAUACCCUGGUAC
This 446-nucleotide ribosomal RNA is filed under the name uncultured bacterium. RNAcentral describes it as "bacterial SSU rRNA". It matches the Rfam family "Bacterial small subunit ribosomal RNA", at positions 330 to 793 of the family's 1533-position model. The record is from RNAcentral.